UGUUAAAAUUUUCAUCCAUUUCUACUGUUAAAAAUUGGCGUGGCUGAUGAACUGUAUAUCAUGUGUACUUCAUACAAAUGUGUAAAGAUUCAUUUUUAACCGUGAAAAUGAUAAGAUUUUUAAUA
Gossypium raimondii (Peruvian cotton) is the source of this 125-nucleotide non-coding RNA. NCBI's taxonomy places the organism in Eukaryota, Viridiplantae, Streptophyta, Magnoliopsida, Malvales, Malvaceae. The record is from Rfam.